UACGGAGGGUGCGAGCGUUUGUCCGGAAUCACUGGGCGUAAAGGGCGCGUAGGCGGCGCGGAAAGUCGUCGGUGAAAGCUCGGGGCUCAACCCUGAGUCUGCCGGUGAUACUCCCGCGCUCGAGCUCACUAGAGGCAGAUGGAAUUCCGGGUGUAGCGGUGGAAUGCGUAGAGAUCCGGAGGAAGACCGGUGGCGAAGGCGGUCUGCUGGGCAGUUUCUGACACUGAGGCGCGACAGCGUGGGGAGCAAACAGG
This 254-nucleotide ribosomal RNA is filed under the name uncultured bacterium. RNAcentral's name for it is "partial 16S ribosomal RNA". It matches the Rfam family "Bacterial small subunit ribosomal RNA", at positions 524 to 776 of the family's 1533-position model. The record is from RNAcentral.